RNAcentral lists this transfer RNA (589 nucleotides) under Bradyrhizobium sp. 511. RNAcentral's name for it is "partial 16S-23S ribosomal RNA intergenic spacer". The stretch from base 177 to 250 matches the Rfam family "tRNA". Lineage: Bacteria; Pseudomonadati; Pseudomonadota; Alphaproteobacteria; Hyphomicrobiales; Nitrobacteraceae. The record is from RNAcentral.
GAAUUUUUCAAGCUUGCUUCUAUCGACCGUUUUAGAAACAUCAGUGGCCAACGAUCGUCAGGAUCGUUGAGCUGCAUUGGCGGGAUUUCGCCGUCUUCGUUUCUCUUUCUUCGCGGACGAACACGCGCUGGGCCUGCGAGAGCAGGGUCCCUGGUCCUUGACGGGAUAUGCGUUAGGGGCUUGUAGCUCAGUUGGUUAGAGCGCGCGCUUGAUAAGCGUGAGGUCGGAAGUUCAAGUCUUCCCAGGCCCACCACACUCAUCGGGUAAGCAUUCGUCUUCUGGUUACGGGGCCAUAGCUCAGCUGGGAGAGCGCGUGCUUUGCAAGCAUGAGGUCGUCGGUUCGAUCCCGUCUGGCUCCACCAGAUGGUUUGAUCACCGACGCUGUGUUUGCAGCUAUUCAACCGUCGUCCGCGAAACAUCACUUCGCACCUACUAGUCUGGAUAGACAGUAGGUUGCGUGAUUUCUGACAUCGUAAAGAGGAGAUCGAUCCGAGUUGGAUCGGGCAGCAAGCAAUUGCUGCGCGAACCUUCAUUAUCUCCGGAUCAUUUCGGCGCUCGCGCGCCUUUCAAUGCGGCUCACAAGGCUGCG